This 208-nucleotide ribosomal RNA is filed under the name uncultured bacterium. RNAcentral describes it as "partial 16S ribosomal RNA". It matches the Rfam family "Bacterial small subunit ribosomal RNA", at positions 524 to 730 of the family's 1533-position model. The record is from RNAcentral.
UACGUAGGGACCGAGCGUUGUCCGGAAUCAUUGGGCGUAAAGAGCGUGUAGGCGGCUUGGCAAGUCUGGUGUGAAAUCUUGCGGCUCAACCGCAAGCGGUCACUGGAAACUGCCUCGCUAGAGUCCGGAAGAGGAGAGCGGAAUUCCUGGUGUAGCGGUGGAAUGCGCAGAUAUCAGGAGGAACACCCGGUGGCGAAGGCGGCCAUCU